This 59-nucleotide transfer RNA is filed under the name Proasellus grafi. RNAcentral's name for it is "transfert RNA-K(AAA)". The record is from RNAcentral. Lineage: Eukaryota; Metazoa; Arthropoda; Malacostraca; Isopoda; Asellidae.
AACUAAAUGGCCGACAAAGGCAUAGAAUUUUUAAUUCUUGUAUGAACUUUUCUUUAGUU